GUGCUCACUUUGGCAGCACACACACACACACACACACACACACACACACAAAUUGGAGACAGAAGUGCAGAGAAGAUCAGCAUGGCCCCUGUAUAAAGAUGAGAUGAAAAUAUUUUUCAUGUUCCAUAUUUUU
Cricetulus griseus (Chinese hamster) is the source of this 133-nucleotide small nuclear RNA. The record is from Ensembl. Lineage: Eukaryota; Metazoa; Chordata; Mammalia; Rodentia; Cricetidae.